AACAAAAGCAUCCUUCUUCAUCGUUAAUGCUCGAUUACACUUCCAGAGUUAUAAGUACCAAACUAGUAACUAUUCAUACGUUUACCCGACAAAAUAUGGCUUCGUGUAAGUCAUUCCGAUGGAGCAGAGAUUUCGUGUUUUGAACUUCAAAGUUUAGAAGAAAUCAAGUGAUUGUUCGCUUAAAUACUUCAUCCACACAAAAUUAUAAUAUAGCGUUGUUAUAUAUUCACAUCAGCAGAUUACCAGGAAACUCAAUGACCAGCCAUCUCAUUCCUCUGCAACAUUAACAAGUUCAUACUCGACUAAAGAUAGAUUAUUGUCUUCCUUGACGACGAAAUCUUCGGGCUCAG
This 350-nucleotide unclassified non-coding RNA is filed under the name Hevea brasiliensis (rubber tree). The record is from RNAcentral. Lineage: Eukaryota; Viridiplantae; Streptophyta; Magnoliopsida; Malpighiales; Euphorbiaceae.